Long non-coding RNA from Lepisosteus oculatus (spotted gar), 1574 nucleotides. Lineage: Eukaryota; Metazoa; Chordata; Actinopteri; Semionotiformes; Lepisosteidae. The record is from Ensembl.
AUGGUGCUUCAAAGAGCUGUCAACACAACCAGCCGCAGCAACGGGGACUUACAAAGAGCCGCGAUGAGCCGAAAAAGGAGUCGUUUCUUCUCCGCCGUUGCCGAGCCGCCGGACCUGAAGAAGGUGUUCAUGGACUCCGCGGGCCAGAGCGACGACGACUUCGCCGACCUGGGCGCCGAGCCGGAGCUGCAGGUGUCGGUGUCCGAGAUCGCCGAUCACCUGGGCAGGAGCAUCUCCUGGGCGCUGGACGCCGCCUUGCGCCAGAUCCGGAGGGUGGUGAGCGCCAGGAUCCGCGUUUUAAGGCUGGAGCUGCAGGACAAAACCGCAGAGAUCGAGGUGCUCCGGGCCCGGCUGGAGACGGCGGGUUCGGGGCCGGUGUCGGUCCCCGCUCGGGGGCCGGCCGCGCUGGGCGCCAGACCCCCCCCGGCCGGGCAGCCGGCCAUCAGGCCCGGGGACCUCAGGAAGCUGAAAGCGGGCGCCCCCGAAAUUAAAAAGGAGAAGGUCAACGCCAUCUGCGACUACCUCAUGAAGGACAAGAACGCCCGCAGCAAGAGCGGCGCCUGGUGCGGCGGAGCCGCCCCCUCCGGCACCGACAAGGAGCGGGUUCCGAGCUCCCCGCCCCCGCUGUGGGCCGAGCCCGGCCCGGAGGAGCAGCCCGGAGGGGGAGCUGUGGAGGGCGGCCCCGUCUCGGAGGAGCUGUUCGCCCUCCUGCCUUCACACGGGAAGCUGCUGGACCGGUACCAUGGUCCGGACUCUGCUGGAGAUCUGUCGCCAGGCAACUCACCUAGGUACCUGCAGCCAGGUGUGCAGCUGUUCAAGAGUGACAUGGGACCGGCGCCCAGUGAUCCCGGGGACGAGGGGCCCCCCGGCGACGCCCCCCCAGCCCCCGCCGGCGGCCCCGCGGAGCAGACCUGGGGGCCCCUCGGAUCCGCGGGGGACGGAGUUCCCAUCCGGGCUCCGGAGGGAGUGGAGCGUCUGGAGGGAGGCGGGCCAGGUGAGGGGCCGGCGACAGGGGUCAAGCUCUGUCCCGGGGAAUGGGCCGAGGUCCAUACGGCGCGAGCCGGGAAGAUCGCCCCCAGAACCGGUCCUGGUCGCUCUGAUGUCACUCCAAAGCUGGGGACUGGGUCUCCCGGGCCGGGGGACCUCCGCCAGCAAAACAAGCUGGGGUCUCGGGUCACGGGUUCGAGCCAGCCAUGGGUGGGAUUCCCCACGGUGAGGAAUUCACCCAUGGGCUAUCAGGUGGGAUGGGUUCACGUGGGCUAACAGCGCCCCCUGGUGGCAGGCUGGCGCAGAGGGACGAGCAUCUCGUUCCUCCUCCCCCCACCCAGCUGGUGACUCUGGACUGGGCGGGCGGACCGGAAAUUAAAUUGUGGUUCCGGCUCCGUUCCCGUCCUUCCCAGAGAGAGACCUUGGCGCUGGCUCUUCCCGAACAUCCCCCUCAUCUCUCUCUCCCUCUGUGUCUCCAGGCCCACGGGCCCAAGCCGAGGCCUGCCUCUGCCCCUUCUGCGGAACCUUCUGUCCCAGCGCCGCGUUCCUGGGGGAGCACCUGAAGGCGGCGCACCAGGGGGACGGCG